This 540-nucleotide long non-coding RNA is filed under the name Theobroma cacao (cacao). Its description in RNAcentral is "long non-coding RNA (TCAC_LNC001927)". Lineage: Eukaryota; Viridiplantae; Streptophyta; Magnoliopsida; Malvales; Malvaceae. The record is from RNAcentral.
UAAUGUUUCACAUUAAAUAUUCAUAUACACAUAAUUAGACCUUGACCGUCAGCGGAGUGACUCUGGGCAUGGUUGCUAACAUUUAAUGUCAUGGUAAACCUACCGAGCAAUGGAUAGGGAGGAGCACCUCGUCCUAGGAUCCAAUCACCUUUGACUCAGAAAAACCUAAAACAUGAAUUUUAAAAACGUGAGUACAAACUCAGUGAGUGAACAUAGGAAGGGAACAAGCAUCAAUACAGGAAGUUUUAAAAAAAAAAACAUGAUGCGCUUAUGUUGAAAACAAUGCAAUUUAGCUCAAUUCUUGUCACAACGAAAAUCCAUUUUUGCUACAGUGAAAAUUAAGUGGAAACCAUUUCUCAAGUUUUAAAAUUCAAAAAUCAAUGCAACCACAAUAUAAUUUCCAAAACCUCUAUAUAUAUAACAUAUAUAAACAUACAUACGAUCUCCGGCCUCACCCCAACACUCUCUCAGCUUAUAUGCACUCCCACACCGCACAUAGCUGGGUCAUCAUCAGCUCAUGUGCACUCCCUACUCAAUCAU